UAAGCUCUUAUCUAAACAACAGUUCCAACCAAAUUCGAUUGAGAGAAAGAUGAAUACAUCAAAGGUCGUCUUUCAAGCACUUCCGAUUCGCUAUUCCCUGGGUCCAUGGUGUUUACCCCGUAAGUUUUUGGUGAACUACCCAUAAAAGUUUUCUCUUGCAUUCACCAGGGUACCGAACAAAUAAACAAGGAAGGAGCGGUGGAAAUUAAGGUCGAUUCAGUGAAUUACAAGUCGCCGGUGGGGAAAGACGAACCAAGAAAGGUGGUGGAAGUUAAUCCUGACAAUGUAGAUAAAGCAAGCAACUACGCUAAUCCGGGUGAGGCUUUGUCAAGUCGAGUACGAGUUGACCCGUCUCACUUUGUUCCUAAUAAGUAGAGCUAUUAAUAGCAAACCACCCUUUAAAAAUAGACUUUGUUGUCAUCGUGUUUGUCGACCAUUAAUCUAAGUACUUUUCAUAUCGGUUAUAAUCAGAGACUUAUGUGUAUGUUAUUUUGAAUAUUGCAAUUUUUUGGCAAACGAAUGAAGUGUAUGAACCGACCGGAGCGUUUGUGUGUAUAAAUAUGUAAUAUAUUCGAGUUCACAUCUUAUAUC
Cynara cardunculus var. scolymus (artichoke) is the source of this 591-nucleotide long non-coding RNA. RefSeq lists it as uncharacterized. Lineage: Eukaryota; Viridiplantae; Streptophyta; Magnoliopsida; Asterales; Asteraceae. The transcript has 3 exons. The record is from RefSeq and is a predicted model, not a curated record.